AUUGAACGCUGGCGGCAUGCCUUACACAUGCAAGUCGAACGUGAAAGCGGGGGCAACCCGCAAGUAGAGUGGCGGACGGGUGAGUAAUACAUCGGAACGUGUCCAGUAAUGGGGGAUAACCUAGCGAAGUUAGGCUAAUACCGCAUACGAUCUGCGGAUGAAAGCGGGGGAGUGCGGCACUAAAGGACUUUUGGUCGAAGGUGGCCAAAGGUGAGUCAAGAGCUUUUAGUGCUGCACCUCGCGUUAUUGGAGCGGCUGAUGUCUGAUUAGCUAGUUGGUGAGGUAAAGGCUUACCAAGGCGACGAUCAGUAGCUGGGUCUGAGAGGACGGCCAGCCACACUGGGACUGAGACACGGCCCAGACUCCUACGGGAGGCAGCAGUGGGGAAUCUUGCGCAAUGGGCGAAAGCCUGACGCAGCGACGCCGCGUGAGGGAUGACGGCCUCGGUUGUAAC
Molecule: ribosomal RNA, 454 nt
Filed under: uncultured bacterium
Lineage: Bacteria
Description: bacterial SSU rRNA
Rfam family: Bacterial small subunit ribosomal RNA
Source: RNAcentral